ACGUCAUACAGUGGUCGGUACAGAGGGUUGCCAAGCCGCGAGGUGGAGCCAAUCCCAGAAAACCGAUCGUAGUCCGGAUUGCAGUCUGCAACUCGACUGCAUGAAGUCGGAAUCGCUAGUAAUCGCGGAUCAGCAUGUCGCGGUGAAUACGUUCCCGGGCCUU
This 163-nucleotide ribosomal RNA is filed under the name uncultured Tepidiphilus sp. RNAcentral describes it as "partial 16S ribosomal RNA". It matches the Rfam family "Bacterial small subunit ribosomal RNA", at positions 1220 to 1382 of the family's 1533-position model. The record is from RNAcentral. Lineage: Bacteria; Pseudomonadati; Pseudomonadota; Hydrogenophilia; Hydrogenophilales; Hydrogenophilaceae.